GUGCUCGUUAUAGGAGGGGGGGCCGCGCUUGUUGGGGCUGCUGUGGAAACAAGGCUGUCAGCUUCAGCUACUCAUCCAGGAUGGACCUAAUGAAGAAAACGGCUUAUCCUCGUCCGCUGCUUGGCUGCACGAAGCAGGAGGAGGCCAGGUAGAUGGCCCCCGAGGAGAUGGCCGGGCCCAGGAAGCGAGGGCUGGGGAUGUCCAGGUGAGCGUGAGCUGAGGAGCUGGACGGGCAGAGCUCGUACCCAAGAGAGGCAUGCUGGCGAAUCUCAAUGACGUCCAGGGAGUUGAAGUACGUCACGAACAGGUACGGCUCCCUGUAGGCUGUGACAGAAGAUGCCGCCGUCAAGAACCUGCGUGUGUCAGCAGGAAGGCCGGUGGCGUUGGCGG
Molecule: long non-coding RNA, 390 nt
Organism: Paramormyrops kingsleyae
Lineage: Eukaryota; Metazoa; Chordata; Actinopteri; Osteoglossiformes; Mormyridae
Source: RefSeq, a predicted model, not a curated record